Molecule: long non-coding RNA, 9313 nt
Organism: Pan troglodytes (chimpanzee)
Lineage: Eukaryota; Metazoa; Chordata; Mammalia; Primates; Hominidae
Exons: 4
Source: RefSeq, a predicted model, not a curated record
GUCUCUGUAUCUAAUUGAGUCUGGACUGGUAGAACAUGAAAGUGGGUGACUAGGUAGGAAUUUUCUAAUGGACGUUUAUCCUUUAAGAGUUCUCUAGGGUUGCUCAAUCAUAGAAGAAAGGACUGAGAAUGCUUUGUCUACACACUGAUCUGAUCUAGCACCCUUCUAUGUUGGCCUAAGCUUUUUGGUGUAGAAUCUUCCUGGUGACUGCUAUCCUUUGUCCACUUGGCAAUCCAUUGGCUUCUGUCUGUUUCCUGGUCUACCUGUGUCCUUGUUAUCAGUGUCUCCACGUGUUUUUCAAAUGGGCUGUUUGUGCUUGCUGUUUACAUAGAUGUGUAUAGAUGUUUAGGUCAUCUACUUUUGGCAACCAAUGGAAGGCUCCGUAAGUACGUUCCUGAGUCCUUGCCUUCAGAAUUAUGCCCAGAGGGGCACUGAGCAAAUAAGGUGAGCCAUGUUAAUGACACCUUGGGUUGAAGACACAUUUGAGAUUACUCCUUUGCUGUCUUGAAAUCCUAAAAUCAGGUUACCCUGAAUCCAUGAUGCUUUUCCUAAACUGGAAUAUUGUAGAAGUUAAAUAUUCCAAGUGGAAAUGGGGAUGGAGUCUUCAAUUGUGAAGCAUUUUAUCAAACUGAUGUGAUUAUAGUGUUUUUUACAUGAGAACUAUCUUCUCCAACAAGUGAAAUAUCAUGACCUGACAUUACCCUACCCUUUCCAAAUAGCAGGCAGACAGUUUAGAGCAACUAAAAACAGUGUAAGUGCCCCAAGCACUUUAGGAGCUGAAAUAAUCACAACUUUCCUCUUGCAACAAUGCCUACUGGUUAGACAUUCACAAGACUUUUCACUGUCUUUGUACUUCACUGUUUGUGGGAGGGGUAGAUGAAAAGAAAAAAAGAAAGGGGAGAGGCAGGAAUGUAGCCCAAGAUCUCAGGAGGAGGGAGCCUUUAGCUGGAGCCUCCCUCUUUUUCUCCCAAGAGGAUGAUAUCAGGAUAGUAAAUUACCAACCCUGGGGAAUCAGCUUGUCUUUUAAGGCUAUUAAAGGGACCAAGAUGAGCUGGAUUCCUAAAUGAGCUUUGAGGAUUACUCUGCCAGGUGGAAGGUGACUGACCAUGGGGGAAGGAGAAAUUGGCUCCCAGUAUAUCAUUUUUGAGCUGUCCAACGGUAAUCCCCACACUGAUUUAAGCAGGAGGCAUUUGAGAUACUAAUGGACAAUUGCCUCUUGCUUUUCUCUGAUAACAGCAGGUGCUCUCAGCAGCAGCAGCUUAUCCUAGGUAUGGAGAAUGUGAAAGGUGGGAGCCUUGGACAGGACAUGAGGAUAGAGGAGAGAUGCGGAUUGGCACCUGGAGGGACGCGGGACAGAUUUGGAAAUGGCAGGUAUCAUCUCAGUCCCCAAAGGGAGCUGCCUCUCAGACUGAGUUUUGGGAAGAAAGAUCAGGACUGCUCUUGUUCAGCAGAGGGAAUAUAGCUUCAGGGGCAGAUGUCAUUCUUCAAAGGCAGGAGCUAAUUUUCUCUCUGGAUUAAGGAAAAGAUUCAUGAGGUCAAUGGUGUGGGCUGUGCAACCCACUCAGUGGCUGUCCUGGAAACAUCAAUCAAGUCCAGGCAUCCAGUCUUGACCACUGGCAAAUAUCUAUUUUAGGUUGACCCCAUCCUUUCUUGCUGGAGGGAGGAGAUGUUAUUCAAUGUGUCAGGGAACUUAUUAAACUGCUAGAUGGCAAUAUUUUAAAGUUAACUUUAAAAAAAGUGUCCUUGGCAUAUGAGCUCUGAGAGGAUAUUGGGAUCGUUUUUUGACAGGCGAAAAGCCCUAACACAGGCGUUUGGGUAGAUGGAUGAGUUAGAGGCUUCGUGGGCUUUCACCUGGAUGAUUGCAAUGUCCAUAAUGGUGGUCUCAUCCUCUGAAGUCUCCCCACAUCAGUCUGCUACCCUCCACACUGUUUUCAGUGUGUAAUUUCUAAAAAGGCAUUAAAACAAAACAAAACAAAACAAAAAAACCCUUUGCUUAAAAACCUCCAGAGACUCCUGGUUUCUAUCAUUGAUACAGUCUUGGUUCCCCAGCAUGCCUAUUACCGUAUUCAUCAUCUGAUUUCAACAUGCUUUUCCAGGCUCAUCUCCCAUUACUUUUUGCCCCGAAUGUCUGCUCCAGCCCCUAGAAACCACACGUUUCCCUGUGGAUGUGCUCUUCUCUUUUCUACCUGAGCUUGUUGCUGGUCCCUCUCACUGAAAUCUGUCUCCUCCACCAUGCAUUGGCAGGGGGAUGCCCAAGAACCAGUUCCAAUGUCACCUCACUUAAAAGCCUCCUCUGGUAGCUGCGCUUCUGCACACUUCCCGAUUAAGGCAGAUUUUGUGGUUUCCUCUGCUGUUCUUGCAAAUAAUUUUUAGUAAAUUUCUGCUAGAACACUUGCCCCUGCUGUACAAAUUAUAUUGUAAUUUUUUGUUAAUAUGCCUACCUUCUCCAAUGGAACUGGGAGACUAUUCUCGUUCACUUUUUUCUUCAGUUUCAGCAUCUAUUACAGUACCUAGGAGAGGUACUCAGUACAUACUGGAAAAGAAAAUGAAUGAAGGCUUGAAUGAAUGUAGAAAAGAAUAGAGCACAGAAACAGAGAUCUCCAAUGAAUAGAUAGGAAAGGCCUAUAGGAGGUUAUGUGCUCCCCCGCCCCCAGCCGCUCUCCCCCUUCCAACUUACUGCAGGCAAUUUGCACCUAAACUGUCCUUUAUUUUUCUGUUCCAUCGUGUCUUGUUGCCCUCAAUUGCUGUAGUCUGAUGUUGACCCUGCAUGACAAGCAGAUCAACUCCUAAUCUGCCAGAGCCCCAGUUUUUCUGGGACAUUUGCAAGCUCCUGACAGAACCCGAGGAGAGGAAAACUGUCAGCCCUCACUUGUCAGUUCUUGGAGCAGCCAGUCCAAGGCUUAAUUUGCACCUUGAAAUCCCCUGGGGCCACCAUGGCUCUGAUUGCUGGUUUAGGCCCCUUCAAUAGUUUAUCUUAGGGGAUAAGUAGGAUAGAAUGAUGGAGGAUGAGGACUAUCACCACUUUAUUGUUGCAUCUCCAAAAAGCCGGGAUGGAGCAGGGGUGUGGGGAUAGGGGUGUAGACAGGGAAAUAGAAAAUGAGGAAUGAAUAGACUGGUUUUAAGUUUCACACCAAAUUAGAAUACUAAUGGGGAAAUUGAGUUGGGAAACAUUAAAAAAACACAAAGAUGACUCAGUGUAAACAGCACUGUCUAAAAAGCAGCAGAAGAUCCACACAGGGAGAAGCUGCACUUGAGUGAUAAUAAAGGAGGCAGCUAAAGCAAAGAGAUCUCCCCGUCUGCACCAGGUUUCUAUCACUUAAUCAAAACUGACUCCAGCCACUGCAGCUGCAAAAAAAUGUUCCCAACCUUCCAUUAAUUUCCAUACAAUAACCCUGUAAUGGGGGAGCUGUUCGGGGGAGGAGCUCAAUCAAUCUGGCCUAAUGACACACUGGAGACCUGGGGAAAAUGCAAACUUGGAGCAAUUUCAUGGCAGGUGCAACCUUGGAAAGCAUUACCAUUUUUCUACGUUAAUUUGUUCCCUUGGUAUGUUUGAAAUCCAUAUUUGUACUUUAAAGAUCUAAAAUGCAAGAUGAUUAAAAAAUAUAACCGGAUUUUUGUAAACCUUUCAGCAAUAGCGGGUGAUAUAUUUGCUGCCUCCCUCUUUCCUCUCCUCUGUGAGCAGGGAUCACUUUGCCUUCUUUUAUCCUUUGCUGUCAUCUGAGGUGGCUGUAGAUUCUCUGUUUUGUUUACUAUUUUUAGGUUUUCCCUUGGCUCCCGCCUUCCGGAACCCUUUUGCACUCUGGGCAGAACCAAUCUAGGAAAUGGCAGCCAGACCUCUGGGUGGGAUUUAGACCCUAGAGGAGGAGGAGCAAAGAAAUCCCAUUCCCGGAUUGGUCGUGGGUGGAGAGACUGCAAUGUCUUCUCCUUGUCUUGAGCUCUUCCUCCGUGCCCAACUUUUCUUCCCAGACAGGUGAAGAAAGGUCCAGGGAAACAAAAACAAAAUCUGGCACUUGGCCCUCAUUCAAGAAAUCGAGAAUUCAAGAAAACUAGUCCCUUGAUUUCUCAGUUUCACUGGCCCUCCCCUGGCCUUGCAGCCUGAAGCUGGCAUCUGGAGGUCAUCUAGGCAGAAGCCUAGAUGUCCUUGGCAAAUCCUUUUCCUCUUAGAACUUGUCCUAGGAAGUAAAAGGAGAAGUACUCUCUGCCCCACUGAAAUACACACACAUUCUCUCUCUGUCUCUUUUUCUCUCUCUCCCCUUCAAACAUCUACUUGGAAUAAAAUGAUCAUGUGCAGAUUUCUGCUCCCUGGUUUGCCAUCUUGCCAAAGGCCUUAUAGACUAGCACUGUUUAUGGAACGUGCAGGUAACUUCCCUGCCUCUCCUCCACUUUAAUCUAGGGAACUUUAUGUUGAAAGAACCCUUUCUAGACUCUUGCGGAUUAUUCUUCCCAUGCUUCAAGUGGCUUUUCCCAUUCCGGAAGCAAGGCACGUUGGGAGCCCUGGGUAUAUCUCUCAUUGGUAGGGCAUUCAAAAAACCAGAACCUCGUAAGUUCUUCCAGCCUUUGAAAUAAGGUAUAUUUCAUUCCAUUUAGCCUUAAGGUUUAUAAAUUAAUCCAAAAACUCUCUGAGAAAUGCAUUUGCCGUCAUAAUUGAGAAUUUGAUGAUAACUUACUCAAGAAUCCAGCUCUAAGGCUCAUUGAUGGUGCUUAGAGUUCAAGGGUUUCAUGCUGCUUAACUCUGUUAAGUGCUCUGGGAUGAAUUACCACUGGAGAGAAACAUAGAUCUUUUAGGGCCAGAAGUUAGCAGACAGUCUUUUUUUCUGAACUAUCAUUAAUUAGCUCUUUGGGAGCUUUAAUUCCUUGCUCAGAAAGAGGGAAUUAACAUUCAUUCCAUACUUAGGAAAUAUUCUCUUUACUGUCUUGCACUGAUACUAUCCCAGCACCUUAGUAUAGUAGCUGUGAGAAUGCCCCAUGCAAACCUCUAACUCCAGGGGGGCAUAGUUAACCAAGAGUCCCAGCUGCUGGGCUCUGAGCUGCAUUACUGUGUUUAUGCCAAGGUCACACCUCCCAGAGGUGGCUCCCAGACAGUGACUGAGGUUGGCAGGGAUACUAAGGCAAACCAAACUCUAGGAAAUACCGGAUUCUUUAGAUCUCAUCUUGAUAAUUGCUCUAUGGCCCUGCUGUACUGUCCUGAGUCUUCAUGGUGAUCUAAGACAAUUCUACCCAAUCUUUCUUCCUGUCUUUUUUCUUUGGAAGUCUCAGACUUGCAUGGUAGUCUGAUGGCUCUUCGCGUCUCCCUAGCUCCCUUCUUAUUUUCUCUUACAGGUAUAUUCUCUGUAAAAGUAUUUCACCAUGUUUAAUCUCAGCUUGGUGUCUGUUUAUCAAAGAACUUGGACUAACACGAAUAGUCGCAGGCACCAGAGAGACUAUGUCUCCUGGAAAAUGAGAAUUCAAUUGGUUAUAUUCCACUAGGCUUCAGCAGUUCAGAUAGCAUUAUUUAUUUUGCAUUUAAAGGUAAGGACUGCAGUAUAAAAUAAUGCCCAAAAAACCUGUUGAACUCUUAGAUUUUUAUCUUGGUUUUGGAACCUUCCAUCUGCGUGCAGAAUUCAUUUUAUUCUAGAAAUAUGUUACCUUUCUGCUCCUCACCAUGUGAUCUGUGUAUGGCACUCUAGGUAACAGGAGCUGACAUUUAUUGUUAAACCUGCUUCUUGAAUCACUCUGAGGGAGACCAUAAAUGUCUCUGAUGUGAUUCCAUAUAGAGACUUAAAAUGGCAAUGUUAUCUAUAUGUGCAAUUAUGAUUCGUCUGUUUCUCUCAAAAGAUUACAAGUGCUGGAAAGAGGCUGUAACUUUUUUUUUUUUUUUGGUGAAGUGGGGUGAACAGUGGAUUUAUACAAGCACUGUAGGGUUAUGAAAACAUUAUCUUGGAUCAGCUUCUGGGACUAACUUUAUAUAUCAGGAACUCUUCCCUGGAUCAAGAGUUGAAAUAACCUGGACAGAUUACAAUAGCUAUAGUAGGUCUUCCAUCUGGGGCAGUUGGGUAUACACAAGCUUUAAUGCUAUCAUUUAAUCUUUUUGCAAACCACACAUAGCAAAAUUUUGAUUCACAUCCUACUGGAGACACUCAAUAAUUACUUCUAGCUCCUCAGUCUCUCUUUUAAUAUUCUGUCAUUUCUUACCACUUGCAUGAAACAGGAGACACGUAGAUAUAGCUGUGGGUUCCAAUUUUUGUGUUUUUCUUUUCUCCCUUUCCCUGAAAAAAAAAAUAAAGACAGGUUUUGUUGGAAUGAGUAGUAUUUUAUUUUAUAGCAGAAGCCAGUAUUUGAUUAGAAUAUUUAGUCAGUGAAGUUUUAUCCAUUUAUGACAUCUUCUAUCUUCUGGACAAAACGCUUCUGACAUAGCUUACUUUUUUAUGAGAUGGACAAAUUUAAAAACAAUUUUUCUUUUUUAUUAUAGAGGUAUUCCAUGUUUGAUUUCUGCAUUCUAAAGUAUUAACUGAAAACAACAUUGUUGGCUCAUUCCAAAUGAAAAACAUGGUAACUGCUGUUCCCUAAAUUUAUUUAUCUAGAGGGCAGGUCUGAGAUCCCAUGCACUUAUUUGUUCUUUCUUUCACAAAUAUUUGUUUAAAUUUUAUUCAACCAAUGUUUAUUGAGUUCCUGCCAUAUGCUAAGUGCUAGGGGUACUUGAAUUAACAAAAUGGACAAAAUGUCUAGCCUCACUAAACUUAUCCCUAGUGGAAGACUCAACAAUGAGCAAACAAAUAUUUUAUGGGGUAAAACCAACAAUAUUUCUGAUGAAUUAACUGUGGGGAUGUUAGACAAAAAGAAGAGCCAAGGAUGAAUGCAGGGAACUUAGCUUGAGCUAAAUCUACAAAACAGGAGACCAUGGAGGAGAAGCAGGUUUGGUGGCAGGCAGACUGGGACUGGGUCAAGAACUCUGUUUUAGACCCUUUAAGUGUGAGAUGCCUAUGAGAUAUCCUGGUGGAGAUUUCAUGGAGGAAGUUGGAUGUAUAAGUUAAGUUUAUGGUGUAGACUGAAAUUGAGAAUAUGUGUUUGGGAUAGUACUUAUAGCUUUAGGGCUAGAUGAGAAUUUCAGGAGUAUGUUGAUAGGGAAGAUAAGCAUUAUAAAAACUAAACUCAGGGGCUCUCUAAAUUCAAGAAUCAGGCAGAGGAAACAUAUAUUAUAGGGGGCAUGUACCAUCUGCCGGGCAUUAAGCUAAGGGCUGAAGAUACAAAGAAGAGAAGGCAUUAACUAAACUCAUUGAGGACAGGGAAUGUGUUUUAUUCUCUUCAGAUUCCCAGACCCUAGCACAUUACUAGCCACAUAAGACUUUAUUUAACAACAACAAAAACAUUGAAAGGUGGGACUACACAGAGUCUAGUGAUAAACCAGAAAUUAUAAUUAAUCCAAUUCUGUGCAUAUGAAAUCCUAUUAGAAAAAAAUAAAGCUCAUAUUCCAGUGAUAGAGGCAAAGAAGGCAUUACAACACAGCAUGAGUGUUUAUCAAAUAUAAUUUUGUUCAAAAUGUUUUGGGAGUGUAAGGUAGGGACAGCUAUGUCUGCUCUGGGUUAUCACCAGAAGAAGUGAUGCUUCAGAGGAGAGAAUUCUCACCAGGCACACAAAGCUGAGGGAGGGCAUUUGUCAGAUUAUUGAAGUCCUACAAUUUUGCUGCACAAUUUGGUGUCACUGGUUCCUGGGUGGAGUGAACUUCUCCACUAUCAACUCUCUGUAUUUUCCAACUUUGACUUUAUAAUUAAUCCAUUUUCCAUGACAAAUAUGUUUAUCUCUUUAAGAAACUGAUUUAAACAAAUAAACAUCUAUUUAAUGCCUACCUUACAUAUUAUAUUCCUAUCUGCCUUCAAGAAGCUUUCAAAUAAUGGAAUGAGAAACAGAUGUUAGUAGUCAACUACAAGGCAAGCCAAGAUAACGUCCUAAACAGAAGUGCGAAGAGGUGUUGUAGGCAUACAUCAGAAAGAAGAAAUGCUUUUGACCAAGGAUCAAGGAAGGCUACAGAGAGGAAAUAACAAUGAGCUUAUUCGUGGGACUAUAUAACAUAAGGGAGUGGAGUAUAUUUCCGGUUGAGGAAACAGCAUGAGCAGGCAUAAAUAUAAUAAAAUGUUUGGUGUGGGAGAAGCAGUGAAAUGUGAUGUCAAUGAUUGGGGGGAUGUUCCAGGAGACUGGCUAAAAUGUUUUUGGCAGAAAAAUCAGGAAGGGCUUGGGAUACCAUGCUGAAGAAUUUGGACUUUACUUUAUAGGCAAUGGGGAUGCUUUUCUGCAAAGGGAAGAGAACUUUUGGGCAACUCCUCAAAUAUCAAAUCAAUGGGCGACAACCCUGAGUAAGGUUGAAAUGUUUCUUAUGACUAAAAAGUAGAGUGAGAAUAUUAUAGCCUACUUCUACUGGGAAGGGUUUGUAUAAACCAUAAUCAUAUCUUUUAAAGUCCCAUUAAGCCUUGCUUCUAGUCCAUUAGUUUGGGAAUGUUAGGCUGACAUUUUUAUUCAUGUAACCCCAUUGUACUUUCAGAUAUUCCUAUAUCCAAGAGAGAUAAGUAAACCCUUAGUCUGAUCAUAGAACUUCUGAAUAUAUAUGGUUAGUUGAUGACACAUUUCUCUCUCCAGUUACCCAAGCUCCAUGAAACAAUCAUAAAGGAACAAAAGAACAAAGUAAUUGGGGGAAUAUAACAACAAUGAACAGAGUUCCUUCCUGAAGAGACCACAGCAUGGUGCUGAAGAGCGUGAUCUCAGGAAUACAGAUCUGGAUUUAAAUCCCUGCCUCAGGUGACUUUGUGAACCACGUAUCCUCUAUGGAAAUCAGUUUCUUCAUCAUUGAAAUGGAGAUAACUGGUAUUAUCCCCAGUGAUUUGCUUGCCUUUCUUACACUGUCUUGAUAUCUGCAUCUUUGAGAAUCCAAACUGACACAGUUGUCACCAGAACUGGACCAAGAAGGCAAGUGGCAAGAUGGGGUUUGGAAACUGAAUCUCUAACCACCAUCUGGCUAUGUUUUACCUCAGUGCUAUGUUAACUCUGCCAUGCUUGUUGAUAAUAAAAUUCAAAGAGAUAUGGACCAUCUGGACAUACCGCAGGAUAUCAUAUUGAUCCAGUACAUCUGUGAUAUCAUGCUAAUUGGACAAGGUAAGCUAAAGCGACUACUCUGCUGGGGGCCUUAAUACAAUGAUGUGCUUCAGAGGAUAGAUGAUGAACUCUACAAAGAUAAAGUAAACUGCCACUUCAUAAAAGUUUUCAGGGGUUCCUUGCCAGGAAUCCCGUCCAAGGCAAAAAAUAAAAAUAAAAAAAAAAUUCUGUAUCUUGCAUCCAACUACAAAUA